UGAGAGUCUUUCAAAUCAGAUCAUGCCUAGAGGGCAGAGACAGAAGAGGACUGAAAAUGUUGGCCAGGAUCCUUCACACAGAAGCGUAUAUCUCACCCCCUAAAAAAAAUGAACGAGAAUCUUCACAAAAGAUCUACUGAGCAUUUUCAUAUUUCUGGUUCAAGCAUCAGAUUUUCAAAUUCUGGAAAGAUUGAGAAGUCUCACUCUUCCCUAGGAGAAUAUAAGAAUGUCAUAGCCGAUGUCCACAAUAGUGAUGGUAUAAUGGUUUACUAGGUCAACCAUAUUUCCUGUGGAACCUGAUGGCUGCAUUGUUUCCUACUAGACUCUGCAUUAUUAUAUUCGAAUAGCAAUCUUUAAUCUAAACUAUAUCUCUAAAAGUCCUAGGAUACAACUUUUCCAGUUUAAAAGCAAUCUAACUUGUGUCACAUAACAUACUUUUUAAAAGGAGGUACUUUAUCUGCAGGAUAUUUACUCUGUUCUCUGGAGUUGGGAUUAUAUGCAAAGAAUAAACUAUGACUAUAUCACUAGAAAUGCUACUAUGGAGUCUUCUGUGUUUGCCCCAAGAACAGCUAAAUUGCUCCCUAGGAGGAAGUAAAAGGUUUCUAAUGGUAUUUAAUUUUUAGCUAUAUUUUGAUAUGAACAUAAUGGAAGAAAGCAAAAGCCGGCAUAUUCCAUUCUAAAACGUUGCACAUAGAUUUGUGCAUCA
Long non-coding RNA from Protobothrops mucrosquamatus (brown spotted pit viper), 706 nucleotides. RefSeq lists it as uncharacterized. Lineage: Eukaryota; Metazoa; Chordata; Lepidosauria; Squamata; Viperidae. The record is from RefSeq and is a predicted model, not a curated record. The transcript has 3 exons.